AUGCAGWCGAGMGGAUGAGKGGAGCUUGCUCCMKGAUUCAGCGGCGGACGGGUGAGUAAUGCCUAGGAAUCUGCCUGRUAGUGGGGGACAACGUUUCGAAAGGAACGCUAAUACCGCAUACGUCCUACGGGAGAAAGCAGGGGACCUUCGGGCCUUGCGCUAUCAGAUGAGCCUAGGUCGGAUUAGCUGGUUGGUGAGGUAAUGGCUCACCAAGGCGACGAUCCGUAACUGGUCUGAGAGGAUGAUCAGUCACACUGGAACUGAGACACGGUCCAGACUCCUACGGGAGGCAGCAGUGGGGAAUAUUGGACAAUGGGCGAAAGCCUGAUCCAGCCAUGCCGCGUGUGUGAAGAAGGUCUUCGGAUUGUAAAGCACUUUAAGUUGGGAGGAAGGGCAKUAASCUAAUACCUUGSUGUYUUGACGUUACCGACAGAAUAAGCACCGGCUAACUUCGUGCCAGCAGCGGCGGUAAUSA
This 475-nucleotide ribosomal RNA is filed under the name uncultured bacterium. Its description in RNAcentral is "partial 16S ribosomal RNA". The record is from RNAcentral.